Molecule: ribosomal RNA, 275 nt
Filed under: uncultured bacterium
Lineage: Bacteria
Description: partial 16S ribosomal RNA
Rfam family: Bacterial small subunit ribosomal RNA
Source: RNAcentral
CGGACCGGCGCGACGGGUGGAGUAACGACGUAGUGCAACUUACGUCCUACUACAGGAGGGGGAGUAACCCGGCGAAAGUCGGACUAAUACCGCAUGAAGCAGGGGCCCCGCAUGGGGAUAUUUGCUAAAGAUUCAUCGCUGAUAGAUAGGCAUGCGUUCCAUUAGGCAGUUGGCGGGGUAACGGCCCACCAAACCGACGAUGGAUAGGGGUUCUGAGAGGAAGGUCCCCCACAUUGGUACUGAGACACGGACCAAACUCCUACGGAAGGCAGCAG